RNAcentral lists this transfer RNA (92 nucleotides) under Trichodelitschia bisporula. It matches the Rfam family "tRNA". Rfam says of the family: Transfer RNA (tRNA) molecules are approximately 80 nucleotides in length. Their secondary structure includes four short double-helical elements and three loops (D, anti-codon, and T loops). Lineage: Eukaryota; Fungi; Ascomycota; Dothideomycetes; Phaeotrichales; Phaeotrichaceae. The record is from Rfam by way of RNAcentral.
GCGUUGGUGGUUUAGUGGUAAAAUCCGUCGUUGCCAUCCGAAGCAAUUCGGGAUGAUUCGACGGGCCCCGGGUUCGAUUCCCGGCCGACGCA